This 3682-nucleotide unclassified non-coding RNA is filed under the name Hevea brasiliensis (rubber tree). Lineage: Eukaryota; Viridiplantae; Streptophyta; Magnoliopsida; Malpighiales; Euphorbiaceae. The record is from RNAcentral.
CUCGAAUUUUUCAAAAUAUAUCCAACCAGUACAGUAGACCUAAUGCUAGCAAAGAAUGGAACUGGAAUUGACACUGCUGCAGUCUACUUCUACUAGAUACUUACCAGAAUCUAAUAGCAUUAUAUUGCACCCAUCGGCAACCUGCAAAAUGAUAAAUCCAGUCGCCAACAAUAUGGCGAAUGCGAUUGACCUAAUAAGGGAAAUUUAAAUGAGCAUAGUGAUUGUCUCGAAUUCAAAUUUCUGAAACCUCUCACUUCACGAUUGAUGUAAAAGAUUUAAUACUUACCCAACAGGUUGCUUUUGGGAGCAAAGGUUGCAACACAUCAGUUUGCUGAGAGUUUCAAUCCGCAGUGCAGCUCCAAGACGAAAUAGGGCAAAUUAAGAAGCAACUGCAUAUGUUACACAAGACCAGAGAUUUCCCUACACUGCCUCAAAACUAUUGCCCUAUAUUUUGUGCUAGAAAAAACAUAAAGUUACGUACAACAAAAUUUUGACAAGGCAUAAUUCAUAGACACCUAGGAAUCAUUCGUAUUGUUAUCUUCUGGAAGCACUAAACGACCAUUUUCAAGUAGGAAGGGAGGAAAGGGGGCUCGACAGUUGUUGAUGUGUGAUUUCAGCCUGGGUAUAGUAGGGUGUGCACUUCUACAUCGGUGGCAACGCAACUCCAUUGACAAAUAGCUGUCGUCUCUUACUGUUGCUUUGCCAUGGUUUUUGAUUUCUUCAAUUACAUCAACUGAAUCUCUGAAAAAGGCAGUAUUGAAAGAGUUCCAGUGUUUCUUAUUCUUUAGAUGGUUUGAAUUGAAAUCCUGGCUGAUAACAUGCAGGUGAAGCUGUCGCAUGGAAGGAACCUGCAAGGAAAGAAUCCAAAACGCCUAUUAGGAAAUCCCCUUUGCACUUUUUUCUAUUUCCUUCUGUAGUCAGAGCACAAUUUGGGCAGAAAAAUAAGCAAAAAAGGGUAACUAUAAACAAAACAUUACAUGAGUUAAAAGGCUGUGGGUAUUGUUAUUGAUCUUAAAUAAAGUAGAUAUAAAAUAUGCCAAGAUGCAGAAACACAAAUACAGGUAAACAAGCAAAUGCAACAAAACAGCCCCUUGGGUCCAUGAACAGAUACAUAUUACUUCACUUAAUUACUGAUGCAAAAAUAACUAAGUGAUCAUAAUUUUAAUGAUGACUACCAGGUGUAGCGAUGUUUUAUAUUGCUAAAAUCAUCUGUUUUCUCAAAGGUACAACCCAAGUUAUUGGUUCAUUAAUAAUUUAGCUCCUUUCAUUGGAAUUUCACAUUAGCAAACCUUCCCAAUUUAGUCCUCAUUAUUAUCCGCAGCUUUUGAAAUUAGGAUUCCCAUUUUUCAACCAUUUAUGUGUCCUGGACCUUAAGACAAAUAGUGCCAUCUCCAAGCUGAGAAAAUAACUUCCAACACCAACUCCCAAUCUGGCACUAGGGCUUGCACCUGAGUUAAUUAAGCUCAUCAAUUGUUCAAAAGUGGUUAUGAAAAAGGAAAUGAAUGAAAUUGGCAAACAGCUGAGCGUAAGCAUUGCAUACUGAGUGAUAUCCAAGGCGAAAGAUCAUUGAUGAAUCCUCAUGCAAGAAUUUUUCAGCCCAUCUCAAGCCCACAUCAUGCAUUGUUGUUAACAAUUGAAGGUGUUCUUGUUGUACGUCAGCAAGGCAAUCAAGACCUUCACAUCUUGCCAAGAUGAGGAGAUGCUUUUGUGCCUUAGGGUAGAGAUCAUUUAGUACAGCAACAUCAUCUGAUAUCUCCAGCAACACAUUUUUAUGCUUCUCAGGAUGCAUAGCAAUAUGGCAAAGAGCUUGAGCCCAUGAGGCCCAGCUCUUCGAAGUGCUUCCAUCAAUCUUACUGUUGUCAUUACUUAUCUUUCCUUGUGUAGAGCCAGAACCAGUACCAUCAGUUCCAAUUUCAUAAUGAGAUCCCUUGCAUUUUUUGCUUCUCUCAGAUACAGAAUUACCAUCUCUCUUAGUCUUUUGAUCACCAUUUGCCAAAUAAUUUCUAAGGUCACCGCAAGAGGUAUCUUUCAAUGAUUUCUCUGAUACAAGGCUUUUACUCGUUAACUUUGCUUGGUUCCUCAGUACAGAGAGAAAACCAUCAAAAAGUGAUGUGUAUGCAUCACGAAGAAUUUUGCAGCCUUUAAUAUAGUCAUCUUUAAGGCAAUUAGGUCUUUGUGGGUUCAUAUUUGGGCCAAGGACAUGUAUGAUGUGAGAUACCCCUUCCCUGAUAUACAAGGGAGAAUUUGAAGGAAGGGGAACAACAACAGCAUGUCCAGGGAGAAGAGAAGCUGCUCGUUCCUUAGUUGCAACCUCUAGGGCUGGACCUGCAGCACUGAAAAUUGCAGCAUUCACACCUCCACCUCCUGGUUUCAGUCGCCAAUUGGCAGCAUUAGCUAUCACAUUGCAGCGCAAGCCUCCUUGUGAAUAUAGUUGAGUUAUAUCUCCAACAAAUGUGAAGAAUUUUUUGCUGUCAAUGUUCCUUUGUGCAGCUUUAACCCUAACCAAAGACAAAAUCUUUGAUCCAUGACUCAAGUCCACAAGAACCAGCCUCGCAUUUCCAAGCUUCUUCACAAACUCUUCAACUUUUUCAACCAUGAUAUCAGAUGCCUUCUCACUGUUGAACUGGAAGUCUGCUGUUGAAAUAGAUGGAAAUGCAAGAGUGGGAAUGCUGUCAGGAGUAACAUCACAGCCAAUGGAGUGUUUAGGCAGGUCUUCACGUUCUUUUACCUCCUUACAAGCAGUAGCCGAUAAUGAUGACAAAUUAUCUGGCCCUUUGCAAGAAUUAUUCCUUUCCUUGCUAACUUGAGGAAAUGCAGAAUCCUGAACACUACCUGAACUGGGUCCUGCAUUGGAAGGAACAUCUACUUUCUUUAAGAACUUCAUGAUACCAAGUUGAACUUUGGCAUCAGGGUUCUUCUGACCAAAAGAACCAUUUGGAAGGGUAUCCAAAGGACCAAGUGCACAAUAAGUAUUAAUUGCUGCUUGAACAUCACUCUCACUCUGGCAAAACAUGAUUCGAGACAAACCUUCAGAAAGCUUAGGCAAUUCUUUCUUUUGCAGCAUUCUAUUGACAACAGCAGCAGCUUUUCCACCUUGCAAAUUUCCUUCAUGCCCAGUGCGCUUCACAGAACGAGAUAUACAAAGCUGAGCAGGAAGAUCAAGCACCACAGCAUGAACGUCUAUCUGGGAACCACCAAGCUUCACAAACUCUACACGCUGUUCUCUGUCCAGAUUGCAUCUGUCAAUAAAUACACUUUUACCUUCCUUCAAUGCACUUGCUGCGGCCUUAAGGCACUGGGGCUUCGUUCCAGCUUUUCCAUUAUUAAUAGUGUCCUGACAGAUGCGAACCCAAGGUCGAGAAGAAGAACACAUGACGUGUUCGCAGAAAGUGGACUUGCCACUGCCCGGUGCACCCACCAAGAUCACCACGAUUGGCUUUCUCUCCUCCUCUCCACUUUUCUCUGUAAGAAAAUCCAUAAUAUCUAUAAGAAGGCAAAUUCAAAAACCUAAAGAAAAAGAUUGAAUUCCACACAGGUGCAUUCCUUCAGGUUUUGAAGUAUCGUCGCAAUCCAUGUCCAUUAUUGAUCCAGUGUUUGGGGAGCUCUUACGGGAGGCAGGAGAUGGACGCAGCCCUAUCGAACUCGUUGUUUGGUUUGUGUAACUGUAGACCGUAGAGGUGAC